This 1487-nucleotide long non-coding RNA is filed under the name Cricetulus griseus (Chinese hamster). RNAcentral's name for it is "lncRNA (ENSCGRG00015041441.1)". Lineage: Eukaryota; Metazoa; Chordata; Mammalia; Rodentia; Cricetidae. The record is from RNAcentral.
GUUUUGACAUCAGACAUGAAAAUGCAGAGUUUGGAGUAUGUCCAGUUGAUUUUUGGUCUUGCUUUGGUCCAGUGUUUCCUUGCAAUACUCCUUUUCCUAUAUUUUUGAAUGGAUGUAGGACUCUCAGCUAACACUCCAGCACCAUGUCUGCCUGCAUGCUGCCAUGCUCCAAGACAUGGUGAUAAUGGUCUGUGCCUCUGAAACUCAGCAACAGCAGCAUCAUAAUCACUAUCGUCACCAUCAUCAUCAUCAUCAUCAUCAUCAUCACCAUCGUCAUCGGCAAUCAGCUGCACGGCUAGAGGAAAUCCAAUCACCAGGAGGAAUUUACAGGCCAUGAACUGUACACUCAGGACAUUGCUCAUCUGUCCAGGGUAUCCACCCAUGAGCUCACCCUGAAGAGCCAUCAGCAGGUGUGUUGCAGCACGUACUUCUGAUGUCCCAGACACGCACAGAGUUGUCCAUGGAAGCAGAGGCAACCAGACAACUGUCUGGGCUAAAGGCUGGAAGACCGGUCACAGCCCAGGACUUGCUAAAAACUGACUCAGUGAUUGCAAAAGAGCCCUCCCUUACCCCACACUCACCCAACACAGCCCUGCUGCACAAGACUCCAGUUGAGAGCUGUAUGCUCGGGCUUGAGGCCUCCUACCUCUAUGCAGGUACCUUGCUUUUGCAUCUCCCUCUUCCCAUUAGGGUUAUUACUGGAACAGUUGCAGAACUCCUCUGUAGCAGCUGUAGACAGUGUCUCCUGUGGCUACCCCUCGAGGGAAGUGGUGACAGGAACUAGGAAAGGAAGGGAUGAUCUAUCAGUCUUUCUUUCCAUAAAGAUAGAACUCGGAUUUUAUUAUUAUUAUUAUUAUUAUUAUUAUUAUUAUUAUUAUUAUUAUUAAUUAUUACUGAGGAGGAAACCUAGCACUGGCAGAGGUGUCUCUGCUUCUGUCUGCAGGUUUGACUCCUGGCACUGGCUACGAUACUUGGAAUUUUGAGGUCCAGGGAAUUCAGACUUUGGUAGCCCAUGUAUCAGGAGAAAGGGACACAUAUAAUGGGCUUCUGCAGGCAGGUAGCUUAACUGAACGUUGAGCUCUUGCAGUGAUGGGAGGAGAGAAAGAUUCUUUUACUGGCUGCACUCUGUCAGUACUUCUUUACCCUGGAAGAAAUAUUAUGGUGGGCAUUGGAUGGGCCUCAGCACUUGAUUCGGUUGUCCAAGGUUCCAUCCCUAGCACCAUCAACAAAAAUUAUGAUAAAGAAUAAUUUUGGAUAAUUCUCAAAAUAGACUUAAAAGCUGGAUUUGCAGAUGACUGUUUGUUCUGAGAUUCGGAUUUUUGGUGUCUUUUUCUCCUUCAAUGAUCUGCUUCCACCCCUCACUGCAGUAAAGUACCAGUAUAGUGGACACAGGAAUGAAUCAUGAGUGUGCACUCAUGAACAGCAAACCAUGCUCUAAGGACAAAGAAAGUUCUAAUGUGUGGAAAUGUUUUCUGAAAAGAAUUAUU